AACAUAGCCAGAGGAAGAUAUUUUUGGUUUAACCUGCCCAAUGUAUUAUUGUAUGAAUGGCCGCGGUACCCUGACCGUGCUAAGGUAGCGUAAUCAGUUGGCUUUUAAAUGGAGUCAGGUAUGAAUGGGAUAACCGGGCUUAGCUGUCUCAAAGACAUUUAUUUGAAUUUACUGUUCAAGUGAAAAAGCUUGAUGUAAGAAAAGGGACGAGAAGACCCUUAGAAUUUUGUUUAAAGAGGAUUAUCUCCUCUAUGAUUUUGUUGGGGCGACAGAGAAAUAAUUAAAACUUUCUUUAAAUUAAUCAGUCGGAAUUUUCAGGUUAGGAUAAAUUACCUGAGGGAUAACAGCAUAAUUUUAUAAAUAAGUUUGUGACCUCGAUGUUGGGACUAGGGAAGCUAAAUGGGUUAGCUGCUCAUUGUGCGGAUUCUGUUCGAAUUUUAACUCCUACGUGAUCU
Molecule: ribosomal RNA, 455 nt
Filed under: Eubranchus sp. n. LLC-2017
Lineage: Eukaryota; Metazoa; Mollusca; Gastropoda; Nudibranchia; Eubranchidae
Description: partial 16S ribosomal RNA
Rfam family: Bacterial large subunit ribosomal RNA
Source: RNAcentral